This 497-nucleotide ribosomal RNA is filed under the name uncultured bacterium. Its description in RNAcentral is "partial 16S ribosomal RNA". It matches the Rfam family "Bacterial small subunit ribosomal RNA", at positions 28 to 507 of the family's 1533-position model. The record is from RNAcentral.
GAUGAACGCUGGCGGCGUGCCUAAUACAUGCAAGUCGAGCGAACGGACGAGAAGCUUGCUUCUCUGAUGUUAGCGGCGGACGGGUGAGUAACACGUGGAUAACCUACCUAUAAGACUGGGAUAACUUCGGGAAACCGGAGCUAAUACCGGAUAAUAUUUUGAACCGCAUGGUUCAAAAGUGAAAGACGGUCUUGCUGUCACUUAUAGAUGGAUCCGCGCUGCAUUAGCUAGUUGGUAAGGUAACGGCUUACCAAGGCAACGAUGCAUAUCCGACCUGAGAGGGUGAUCGGCCACACUGGAACUGAGACACGGUCCAGACUCCUACGGGAGGCAGCAGUAGGGAAUCUUCCGCAAUGGGCGAAAGCCUGACGGAGCAACGCCGCGUGAGUGAAGAAGGUCUUCGGAUCGUAAAACUCUGUUAUUAGGGAAGAACAUAUGUGUAAGUAACUGUGCACAUCUUGACGGUACCUAAUCAGAAAGCCACGGCUAACUACGUG